This 254-nucleotide ribosomal RNA is filed under the name uncultured bacterium. Its description in RNAcentral is "partial 16S ribosomal RNA". It matches the Rfam family "Bacterial small subunit ribosomal RNA", at positions 524 to 776 of the family's 1533-position model. The record is from RNAcentral.
UACAGGGGGAGCAAGCGUUGUUCGGAUUUACUGGGCGUAAAGGGCGCGUAGGCGGUCAGCACAAGUCAGUUGUGAAAUCUCCGGGCUUAACUCGGAAAGGUCAACUGAUACUGUGCGACUAGAGUGCAGAAGGGGCAACUGGAAUUCUCGGUGUAGCGGUGAAAUGCGUAGAUAUCGAGAGGAACACCUGCGGCGAAGGCGGGUUGCUGGGCUGACACUGACGCUGAUGCGCGAAAGCCAGGGGAGCGAACGGG